AGCAGCCGCGGUAAUUCCAGCUCCAAUAGCGUAUAUUAAAGUUGUUGCAGUUAAAAAGCUCGUAGUUGAAUUUCGGGAUCAAUAUGUUGGUCGUGCCUUGGUACGUACUGGCAUUAUCGAUUCCUACCUUCUGAAGAACCUCGAUGUCAUUAAUUUGGUGUCUUGGGGAAUCAGGACUGUUACUUUGAAAAAUUAGAGUGUUUAAAGCAGGCUCGCGCUUGAAUACAUUAGCAUGGAAUAAUGAAAUAGGACGUUUGAUUCUAUUUUGUUGGUUUCUAGGAUCAACGUAAUGAUUAAUAGGGAUAGUUGGGGGCAUUAGUAUUCAAUUGUCAGAGGUGAAAUUCUUGGAUUUAUUGAAGACUAACUACUGCGAAA
RNAcentral lists this ribosomal RNA (375 nucleotides) under uncultured Glomeromycotina. RNAcentral describes it as "SSU rRNA". It matches the Rfam family "Eukaryotic small subunit ribosomal RNA", at positions 569 to 950 of the family's 1831-position model. Lineage: Eukaryota; Fungi; Glomeromycota. The record is from RNAcentral.